Molecule: ribosomal RNA, 221 nt
Filed under: Clostridioides difficile
Lineage: Bacteria; Bacillati; Bacillota; Clostridia; Peptostreptococcales; Peptostreptococcaceae
Description: partial 16S ribosomal RNA
Rfam family: Bacterial small subunit ribosomal RNA
Source: RNAcentral
UUGAGCGAUUUACUUCGGUAAAGAGCGGCGGACGGGUGAGUAACGCGUGGGUAACCUACCCUGUACACACGGAUAACAUACCGAAAGGUAUGCUAAUACGGGAUAAUAUGUUUGAGAGGCAUCUCUUGAAUAUCAAAGGUGAGCCAGUACAGGAUGGACCCGCGUCUGAUUAGCUAGUUGGUAAGGUAACGGCUUACCAAGGCGACGAUCAGUAGCCGACC